Molecule: long non-coding RNA, 314 nt
Filed under: Phoenix dactylifera (date palm)
Lineage: Eukaryota; Viridiplantae; Streptophyta; Magnoliopsida; Arecales; Arecaceae
Description: long non-coding RNA (PDAC_LNC018588)
Source: RNAcentral
AGCAAGUCACUGACGAGUGGAUAGACAUCCAAGUGACUUCUUGUCUUGGUCACGCUCAGUACCCUUGUUCCCUAACAAGCACCUGCACUAUCACUUCAGUGUCCCUACACUGUGGACUCAAGUCUCGUCCAUCUAGAAGGAAAGUGAUCUGUGCACUGAUCGGAUCGAUCACCGUCCUCGUGAUGAUCCAUUGAUCAGGAGCAUUUAGAAAUUAAUCACCAAUGAUACAUGGCUCAAAUUCUCAACUCUUGAGAAUAUGCAUCAUCAUCUUAUUAAUUUCUUGGACGAUUCAUAGACACAUAGAUAAUAUGAAU